UACGGGGGGGGCAAGCGUUGUUCGGAAUUACUGGGCGUAAAGGGCUCGUAGGUGGCCAACUAAGUCAGACGUGAAAUCCCUCGGCUUAACCGGGGAACUGCGUCUGAUACUGGAUGGCUAGAGAUUGGGAGAGGGAUGCGGAAUUCCAGGUGUAGCGGUGAAAUGCGUAGAUAUCUGGAGGAACACCGAUAGCGAAGGCAGGUCUCUGGGCAUUAACUGACGCUGAGGAGCGAAAGCAUGGGGAGCGAACAGG
This 253-nucleotide ribosomal RNA is filed under the name uncultured bacterium. RNAcentral's name for it is "partial 16S ribosomal RNA". It matches the Rfam family "Bacterial small subunit ribosomal RNA", at positions 524 to 776 of the family's 1533-position model. The record is from RNAcentral.